Molecule: ribosomal RNA, 468 nt
Filed under: uncultured bacterium
Lineage: Bacteria
Description: partial 16S ribosomal RNA
Rfam family: Bacterial small subunit ribosomal RNA
Source: RNAcentral
GACGAACGCUGGCGGCGUGCUUAACACAUGCAAGUCGAACGGAAAGGCCCUGCUUUUGUGGGGUGCUCGAGUGGCGAACGGGUGAGUAACACGUGAGUAACCUGCCCUUGACUUUGGGAUAACUUCAGGAAACUGGGGCUAAUACCGGAUAGGAGCUCCUGCUGCAUGGUGGGGGUUGGAAAGUUUCGGCGGUUGGGGAUGGACUCGCGGCUUUUCAGCUUGUUGGUGGGGUAGUGGCUUACCAAGGCUUUGACGGGUAGCCGGCCUGAGAGGGUGACCGGCCACACUGGGACUGAGAUACGGCCCAGACUCCUACGGGAGGCAGCAGUGGGGAAUAUUGCACAAUGGGCGGAAGCCUGAUGCAGCAACGCCGCGUGCGGGAUGACGGCCUUCGGGUUGUAAACCGCUUUCGCCUGUGACGAAGCGUGAGUGACGGUAAUGGGUAAAGAAGCACCGGCUAACUACGUG